ACUCCUACGGGAGGCAGCAGUGGGGAAGUCUUGGACAAUGGGCGCAAGCCUGAUCCAGCCAUGCCGCGUGAGUGAUGAAGGCCCUAGGGUCGUAAAGCUCUUUCGCCAGGGAUGAUAAUGACAGUACCUGGUAAAGAAACCCCGGCUAACUCCGUGCCAGCAGCCGCGGUAAUACGGAGGGGUUAGCGUUGUUCGGAAUUACUGGGCGUAAAGCGCGCGUAGGCGGACUGGAAAGUUGGGGGUGAAAUCCCGGGGGCUCAACCUCGGAACUGCCUCCAAAACUCCCAGUCUUGAGUUCGAGAGAGGUGAGUGGAAUUCCGAGUGUAGAGGUGAAAUUCGUAGAUAUUCGGAGGAACACCAGUGGCGAAGGCGGCUCACUGGCUCGAUACUGACGCUGAGGUGCGAAAGUGUGGGGAGCAAACAGGAUUAGAUACCCUGGUAGCGACUGA
RNAcentral lists this ribosomal RNA (449 nucleotides) under uncultured bacterium. RNAcentral describes it as "bacterial SSU rRNA". It matches the Rfam family "Bacterial small subunit ribosomal RNA", at positions 335 to 799 of the family's 1533-position model. The record is from RNAcentral.